RNAcentral lists this ribosomal RNA (253 nucleotides) under uncultured bacterium. Its description in RNAcentral is "partial 16S ribosomal RNA". It matches the Rfam family "Bacterial small subunit ribosomal RNA", at positions 524 to 776 of the family's 1533-position model. The record is from RNAcentral.
UACGUAGGUGGCAAGCGUUAUCCGGAUUUACUGGGUGUAAAGGGAGCGUAGGCGGUUCAGCAAGUCAGAAGUGAAAGCCCGGGGCUCAACUCCGGGACUGCUUUUGAAACUGUUGAACUAGAUUGCAGGAGAGGUAAGUGGAAUUCCUAGUGUAGCGGUGAAAUGCGUAGAUAUUAGGAGGAACACCAGUGGCGAAGGCGGCUUACUGGACUGUAAAUGACGCUGAGGCUCGAAAGCGUGGGGAGCAAACAGG